This 816-nucleotide ribosomal RNA is filed under the name uncultured bacterium. RNAcentral's name for it is "bacterial SSU rRNA". It matches the Rfam family "Bacterial small subunit ribosomal RNA", at positions 56 to 918 of the family's 1533-position model. The record is from RNAcentral.
UGCAAGUCGAACGAACCUUCGGGUUAGUGGCGGACGGGUGAGUAACGCGUGAGAAUCUGCCCUCAGGAGGGGGAUAACAGUUGGAAACGACUGCUAAUACCCCAUAUGCCGAGAGGUGAAACGAAUUUCGCCUGGGGAUGAGCUCGCGUCUGAUUAGCUUGUUGGUGGGGUAAUGGCCUACCAAGGCUUUGAUCAGUAGCUGGUCUGAGAGGACGAUCAGCCACACUGGGACUGAGACACGGCCCACACUCCUACGGGAGGCAGCAGUGGGGAAUUUUCCGCAGUGGGCGAAAGCCUGACGGAGCAACGCCGCGUGAGGGAUGAAGGCCUUUGGGCUGUAAACCUCUUUUCUCAAGGAAAAAGAUCUGACGGUACUUGAGGAAUAAGCCACGGCUAAUUCCGUGCCAGCAGCCGCGGUAAUACGGGAGUGGCAAGCGUUAUCCGGAAUUAUUGGGCGUAAAGCGUCCGCAGGCGGCCGUUUAAGUCUGUUGUUAAAUUGUGGAGCUCAACUCCAUCACGGCAAUGGAAACUGUUCGGCUUGAGUAUGGUAGGGGCAGAGGGAAUUUCCGGUGUAGCGGUGAUAUGCGUAGAUAUCGGGAAGAACACCAGUGGCGAAAGCGCUCUGCUGGGCCAUUACUGACGCUCAUGGACGAAAGCCAGGGGAGCGAAAUGGAUUAGAUACCCAUGUAGUCCUGGCCGUAAACGAUGAACACUAGAUGUUGGGGGAAUCGACCCCCUCAGUGUCGUAGCUAACGCGUUAAGUGUUCCGCCUGGGGAGUACGCACGCAAGUGUGAAACUCAAAGGAAUUGACGGGG